AUUGAGCUUAGACGAAAAGAAAAAUAUCGAUCAAAUUGACCUACCUCUAAACGAUCUCCCUUUCUCACAAAACUUGAAUAUAAGGCCAGUAUUUAUACAAAGUAUGUCUUUGCUUCGCUCCUGCAUGACCUCGUGUUAAAUGCUACAAAGCUUGCUGAACGCUGAUCGAAAUAGUAUUACAGGUAAACUACGUGAAGAGUUCGUCUUUUGACUUCGUAACUCAUUUGGAAUUUUCCUCAUUAGCUUUGCAAAUUUGAAAAACUCAGGAAGUUAGGAACUUCUAACAGGAAGUUAAGAACUUCUAACAGGAACUGAGGAAAAUUUUAUUGGCUUUUAGCAACAUUGCAAAUUUCCUCAAGGGAUUUGCAAGGGAGUUUUUUAAAUUGCUAAAGUGAUGAGGAAAAUUGCAAUCAAUUUAGAGACUCAAAAGAGGAACGCUUCACGUAGUUUACCUGUAAACGGCAUACUUGGUAUGUCGUUCGCAGUCGCUAAACAAAGUAUUCGGUAGUCAUCGAUUGAUAAUGCUCCAAUGAUAAUGCUCGAUAAUGAUAAUGAUAAUGCUCCAAUGUAAAUUCCUUACUGCUACGUCAUAAUUUGACGUCACAACUGCCGACAAACACUUGAACGACACAAAAUCGAGAUACACUUCAAGUUUAUAAAACUGUUAGCGGGAAAUUCAAAUGCGCGAUAAGAAUAGGAGGCUGCCUUCGGCAGCAAUUACUAUUGUAGUUCAUAUAGAGUAGCUCGAGAAUUCAAACUUUUAAAAAAAUUGGCAGUUUAAAUUACUUUUGGAAUAAAUAAAACAGACUUACACCGGUUUUGUCGGUUUGGUACAUUAGUAUGUCAUACAAUUUACUAGAACAAAACAUUUUGACUUGAUAAACAGUUUACAUGCCGUUACUCAACACUGACUAUUUUACGUAUUAAUAAUCAGCGAACUCAAAAAUAUAUUUAUAUCAAAACGAAGACAAUGCCAUCUUAGGGCCAAACAUUACAAUAAAUUUCAAAAUCAUACAAAAUAUGAUCAGCUGUGAGCGAAUAUAUGUUUCAAAAUUGCAACGGCUGAACAGUACAAACGUUUACAGUUGACAAUAACAAACUCUUAACUCUAAAAAUAUAUCACAAUACAAGCUACUGUAAAUUGCACUGUACUGUAGUUUGUAGUCUGCUGUAAAACUUAUGAUCAUAAUAACAUAAAAGCAACGUUUGCAGAUUGAGUAAUAAGUUUCAUAAAUACAUCAAGCGACAUGUAUUCCAAACUUUAAUAGGAUUUGUCAAUCAGUAUUUCAAAUUGAUUGGGUAUAUAGCUACGACUGUAUUAUUUAGAGAAAUACCAACACCUGCAUGGGUUUGUAUCCAUGCUCUUCGACUUGUCAAGGCAGCUAAAACAUCUCAACGAUUUGCAGCUGUUCAGUUUUUAGUUUUAAAAUCCAAAUUCACAGUACUCUUUCAAAAUUAUACGCUUUUAUUGAAAGCGUAUAAACAUUGCGCCACAGACGGUUCCAUAUAUUUAUGCGUAUUUUGGCAACAUUAUGAUUUCAACCAAUAGCAUUUUUGAGUCCGCUCACUGCACGGCCCCUCGGUCCCUAACAAUUUUGGGAAAAGAAAUAUUCCCCAAGCCAACUGCGCGGAUCGUCGUUCCGGGCGUUAGCCCGGGGCGAGGGUACCAAUUCCGCUCGGCUAUUUACACCCGAGGAAAGGGAAGCAUUAGCAAAGUCUAAAGUUCAUCAAUGAUCGCGGGCGUGGUUCACCAACCGUGGGUGGUCAUCCUCACUGAUCUCAAAAUAUGGCUGCCUGCCACGAGUGGAAUAAACAAGAUUUCAAUUUUCAAAAGCAUAUAUUUGGAAAAUCACGUUUCACACAAUGAGCUUUGAAGCAAUUUUAGUUUGAAGAAAUGAGAAGAAUUGAUUUACUGUGGAAAAUCGUGGAAUAUAGGGCAAGUUUGCUUUGAAUGUUUAAUGUUUAUGAAUUUAGUUGCUUUAAUUUAUUGCGUAAAACAUGCACUGCUUUCCUUUUCAAUGAAGCUGUAUUGAAGUUUGCUAAAUUAUAUCCUCAGGGCAGUUUAAUUUAAAAAAAAAAGGUAAAAUGUAAAGGAGAGCAAAU
Paramuricea clavata is the source of this 2103-nucleotide non-coding RNA. The record is from the annotation of a GenBank genome assembly. Lineage: Eukaryota; Metazoa; Cnidaria; Anthozoa; Malacalcyonacea; Plexauridae.